UAAAGCGUGCGCAGGCGGUUAUGUAAGACAGAUGUGAAAUCCCCGGGCUCAACCUGGGAACUGCAUUAGUGACUGCAUAGCUGGAGUACGGCAGAGGGGGAUGGAAUUCCGCGUGUAGCAGUGAAAUGCGUAGAUAUGCGGAGGAACACCGAUGGCGAAGGCAAUCCCCUGGGCCUGUACUGACGCUCAUGCACGAAAGCGUGGGGAGCAAACAGGAUUAGAACCCGAGU
Molecule: ribosomal RNA, 230 nt
Filed under: uncultured bacterium
Lineage: Bacteria
Description: partial 16S ribosomal RNA
Rfam family: Bacterial small subunit ribosomal RNA
Source: RNAcentral